This 2822-nucleotide unclassified non-coding RNA is filed under the name Hevea brasiliensis (rubber tree). The record is from RNAcentral. Lineage: Eukaryota; Viridiplantae; Streptophyta; Magnoliopsida; Malpighiales; Euphorbiaceae.
UUCUUACAAAUGAUUUAUUCCAGAUGAAGCCUAUAUGAUGAUAAGGGAGAAGAAUUUUCUUUCUUGACAAGCAAAAGAUGCAAUUAACUUGUUCUACUUAGACACAAAAUUUAUUGAAAAGAGCUCCUGAAGUAAAGGGGCCAAAUACCCUGGUACACAGAUUGUAAACAAAGGAUAUUCUUGAAAUCCAAGGGACAAAAAAAGAAAAAGGCCACCCAAAAGAAAAUUUGAGAUCCAAUAUUAUAUACAGAAGAAAAGAAAUGUCUCUAUAGAGAAAACCAAUGAACAAGAAUCCAAAAAAACACUGUUUUAAUUUCUUUACACCAUAAUCCACUCAUCUUAAAUACCUGGCUGUUUUGUUCAACCAACAGACACACAUGACAAUUGACAAACUCAUUGCCACACCAGAUCUAUUCCUCCUUAAACACCUUGGCCAACAUUCAAAAAGCUCUAACUCUUACCAUUAGACAACAUAUACCAUCCAAAAAGAGCACAAAUAUAUUCUCUUUUGCAAUUGAAAAUUAGUGUAAAUGAACCAGAGUCUGCAUGAUUGAUACAUAUAACACCAACUGGAUGGCCUACAAUCCCUUUCAUUAAAGCAUCCGAUUAUGAUUAGAUCUACAGGCAGCAAUUCUACCAAAAAAUUGCCACCUCUAAAAGAAGCAUAAGUGCACAAAACUAAUUCCCAACAAAAUCUUUGAUCCAUUUCUCCUUUCAAGGUCAGAUAGAACUUCUCAUCUCAUCUUCCUAAUAGUCUGUUUGGCAUUAAGGUUCAAAACUGCUUUUUGAAAAAGAACCUUUUAGAUGUUGCAAAAAGCAGUUUAAAACAGUCCAUUAGCUAUUUCGGAGGUUUUAUAAAUACAAAAGUCAAAUUUACCUUUAAACAAUUUUUAAUGUCCUCUAAUCAGCAUAUUCAAGAUGGUAAUUUUCACAAUAGCAAUGCCAAAAGACCCUAACUCUCACUCCCAUUAAUUAAUCCUCGUACAACCAAUCACAUGAAUCUUCCAAAGUUUUUAAGAUGAUAAUAGGAAAAAUAGUUACAGUAGCAAUUACAAGGAACUUGAAGUAGAAAUGGGCUGUAGCGGUUCCAUCUUGAGCUACACACCAAUUACAUUUGAGACUAAGUUUUCAAUAGUUCAACAAAUUUAUCUUUAUAAGAGCAAUAGCUACUUUUGUAAGGUGGUUGACAGCAUUUAUAAAGUGCAAUAGCUACUAUCCAACACAGGAUUCACAAACAUAUUGAUUAUCUUUGUAUCUUGAUUAGGGGCAUGUAAAAUUUAUUCCCCUGCAGUUAGGGCACUUAACUGUGCCACACUGUUGCAUAGGACACAUAUCUCAAGGAUCUAUCCUGCAAGAAAUUAACUGUCAAAAACUCAAGGUAUGAGCAUCUAUCUCAGCACUCCAAUUGAUCAAUAAUUUUAUUGCUUAAAACCCAUUUGACCUUCAGAAAACAGGCCAAAUGAUAAAUAUAUUAUUUAUAUUUAGUCCUGAAUUCUUUUUGUGAUCUCUUUUAACUAUUUUUAACUGUUUUCAUGUUUUUUUUUUCUUUUUAAUCAAACUUCAGUUACAAACUUACAAUAGACUUCCUUUUAUCCCUUAUAUAAAUUGUCAUUCCAAUAACAUCCUAUUUGCAGACUAUCACAUUCCAUCAAUAAACACUAGCAAACAGCCCAAUAAACCAGAAUAUCUCCAAUUCAAGGACCAAAUAAGUAAAUAUAAACCUCAAAACAUUUGGGAGAAUCUUUUCAUAAGUUGGCUGUGAAGGAGAAACAUCUAUAAUAUGAACUGACCUCUCUAUGUCUGGCAUUUUCUGCAUCCUCAGUGUCAUUCUGUUCCUUGGCUAGUUUUACAAUGUCAUCAAGGAAUUUCUGCUCAAUUCCUUCAAAAGUCUGCAACAAAGGUUUUUCUUCAAAGCCAUUUUGCAUGUCUCCUUCAUGUGGUCCAAAUCUAGGAUCAUUAACGCCUUGCUUCUCUAAUGCUAGUUUUGGCUCUGGUCCUGGCCCUGGCCCCUUUCCCUGAAAAUAGGAUCUUGAUGCAUCAACCCCUUGACCUUCACUGAAACUUUGUGAUGCCAUCGGAUUUGAAACUUUUGAUUCAUCUCUUUCCCAUCUCCAUUGUCCUUCUGCUUUUAAAGUUGCAUAUGGGCGCUCUCUCUCAGGAGUGAAGGCCUCUAGUCGUCCUUGGAAAUGAUCAGUAUCAGACCUGUUUUCCAUCCUCUGAGCAGAAAUACGCUGCAUCUGAGCACCAGCAUAUGCAUUGGCACCAGGAUCAGCAUACUGUACCUGCCGCCUCAUUUUUGCUUAAAAAGAAGAGCUUGUCUUGUGAAUGAAACACGCAUCACAGCCAGUAAAAUCAAAGCAAGUAAUUUAAAUCACAAACAACCAUCAAAUUUGGCGAGAGACAGCUAUACCUAAUGUGGAAACACAAAAUUUAAAAUUAAAUGCCCAUUUGGCCAUUUGGGUUAGCAGGUAUCUUGAAAUUGAAUCUCCUUAGGCUCUAAAAUUGAACUAAAAUUUUUCAAACAAGCACUUUCCACCAUUAAUCUUGCAAAUGAGAAAAUAAAUAACCUACGGAUUAUAAAAAAUAUCAAAUCCAUCAUUUUUAACAUUAAAAAGCACAAAACUAUUGAAAAAAAAAUUAGGACUAAGAGAAAUCAAUGUGAAUUUCCUUACCGCAAUUUGAUUUCUUAUUUUGGUUAUUGUCUUCUUCUUCUCCCUUUUGGAGCUCGAGAUCAAACCAGCAACACGAGAGACUACUACUUAUCGGUCGUUUUUUCGAACCAAAAUGAUAAAAGGACGGAAAUGGGUCAGGCUCUCACUAUA